UUGCCAGCCCGCUCAGAACUUAAAUGAAUUGACGGGGCCGCACAAGCGUGGAGCAUGUGGUUAAUUCGAUGAUACGCGAGGAACCUUACCUGGGCUCAAAUGUAUGUUGACGUAUUCUGAAAGGGAUACUUCUUCGGACAAUAUACAAGGUGCUGCAUGGUUGUCGUCAGCUCGUGCCGUGAGGUGUCGGGUUAAGUCCCAUAACGAGCGCAACCCCUAUCAUUAGUUGCCAUCAGGUCAAGCUGGGGACUCUAAUGAAACUGCCUACGCAAGUAGUGAGGAAGGUGGGGAUGACGUCAAAUCAGCACGGCCCUUACGUCCAGGGCUACACACGUGCUACAAUGGCCGGUACAAAGGGCAGCUACCUGGUGACAGGAUGCUAAUCUCAAAAGCCGGUCUCAGUUCGGAUCGGAGUCUGCAACCCGACUCCGUGAAGCUGGAAUCGCUAGUAAUCGUGAAUCAGAAUGUCACGGUGAAUACGUUCCCGGGCCUU
RNAcentral lists this ribosomal RNA (493 nucleotides) under uncultured Sphingobacteriales bacterium. RNAcentral describes it as "bacterial SSU rRNA". It matches the Rfam family "Bacterial small subunit ribosomal RNA", at positions 903 to 1382 of the family's 1533-position model. Lineage: Bacteria; Pseudomonadati; Bacteroidota; Sphingobacteriia; Sphingobacteriales. The record is from RNAcentral.